GAUGAACGCUGGCGGCGUGCCUAAUACAUGCAAGUCGAGCGAACAGACGAGGAGCUUGCUCCUCUGACGUUAGCGGCGGACGGGUGAGUAACACGUGGAUAACCUACCUAUAAGACUGGGAUAACUUCGGGAAACCGGAGCUAAUACCGGAUAAUAUAUUGAACCGCAUGGUGCAAUAGUUAAAGACGGUUUUGCUGUCACUUAUAGAUGGAUCCGCGCCGCAUUAGCUAGUUGGUAAGGUAACGGCUUACCAAGGCAACGAUGCGUAGCCGACCUGAGAGGGUGAUCGGCCACACUGGAACUGAGACACGGUCCAGACUCCUACGGGAGGCAGCAGUAGGGAAUCUUCCGCAAUGGGCGAAAGCCUGACGGAGCAACGCCGCGUGAGUGAUGAAGGUCUUCGGAUCGUAAAACUCUGUUAUUAGGGAAGAACAAAUGUGUAAGUAACUAUGCACGUCUUGACGGUACCUAAUCAGAAAGCCACGGCUAACUACGUG
Molecule: ribosomal RNA, 497 nt
Filed under: uncultured bacterium
Lineage: Bacteria
Description: partial 16S ribosomal RNA
Rfam family: Bacterial small subunit ribosomal RNA
Source: RNAcentral